RNAcentral lists this unclassified non-coding RNA (304 nucleotides) under fungal sp. RNAcentral describes it as "partial internal transcribed spacer region". The stretch from base 1 to 46 matches the Rfam family "Eukaryotic small subunit ribosomal RNA", at positions 1786 to 1831 of the family's 1831-position model. The record is from RNAcentral. Lineage: Eukaryota; Fungi.
AAGUCGUAACAAGGUUUCCGUAGGUGAACCUGCGGAAGGAUCAUUAACAUUUUCCAAAAACCUUUUUUCAACCCCAAACCAUAUGUUGUUUUUUUUUAUCUUACCCCCCCAAUCAUAAUUAUGGUCAAUCAUAAUUAUGGCAACUCGUUUUUAUUUUUACCCCAAACCCCAACCAAACCAAUAUUUUGAACAGUAUAAAAAAACAAACGGAAGUUUGGAGAAAUCCUUACAACCGUGUUUUAUUUGAAAAAAAAGAUAAAACAAAACAAAAGUACAACUCUAAGCGAUGGAUGUCUCGGCUCUU